UUGGGUUCUGUUACUGGGUUGUUUUGAAUUUAAAAACCUUAAAGGAUUCUUUAAUAAAAGGAUGAAAUAAGAUAAUCAUUUUGAAGAAAUCAAGGCUAGUGUUUCUCAACAAUUCACGCUAAAAUUUUAUUCAAUCAAGAAAAGAAUCACUACAAUCAGCAAGAAUAUGGCAGAAAAUUGCAGUUUACUGCAUCUGGUGAUUAACUUGGCAUAAGCUAUUGUAUACAAAAAUCUUCC
This 237-nucleotide long non-coding RNA is filed under the name Physcomitrium patens. RNAcentral describes it as "long non-coding RNA (PPAT_LNC009367)". The record is from RNAcentral. Lineage: Eukaryota; Viridiplantae; Streptophyta; Bryopsida; Funariales; Funariaceae.